CCCGGCCAGGGGCCGCCCGGCGCUGUCCUGCCCGGCUCGCUUCUCCUGGCAGCAGACGGCGCCGCGGCCGUAACUCCGAUAGAUCCCUUCCCCCUCCCUUGGAUGUCAAUUAUUUCUGCAAGAAAUUUCCAAGAGAGUUGUGGCUUCCUCCCUGCUGGAUCCUGUUGGCCACACAGAUUUUGACCCUAUUGAGAUGAAGAGAAGUGUGAAUUACAAGAUACCUCCACUUUGAUAGUAUUUUGGUAGUAGCUGGUGUCUUCAGUGAUGUCUCCCAACUGAAGUAGAUGGGAAGGAUGAUUUUUAUAUCACACAUUUUAUGCUGAAUUUUGCUGCCGUAAUGGCUGUACAUAAAUCCCAUGGGUUUUGUAUCAGUUUGCACUGACUGAUGUGUCGCACACACUUAUACUGCUGUAAGCUGACAACAUAAGUCCUGGUAGCAAGUUUCUUGGACUAGCAUACUGGUAUGUUUUGCUCUUUAGUGAAAAGACCUGGUUAAUUUUUAUUUAACUUUGCUACACUAACUUGGGUUGAAAUAAAGUUCAGACUUAACUUUG
Long non-coding RNA from Catharus ustulatus (Swainson's thrush), 554 nucleotides. RefSeq lists it as uncharacterized. The record is from RefSeq and is a predicted model, not a curated record. Lineage: Eukaryota; Metazoa; Chordata; Aves; Passeriformes; Turdidae. The transcript is spliced from 3 exons.